UUGACCUCGGAUCAGGUAGGGAUACCCGCUGAACUUAAGCAUAUCAAUAAGCGGAGGAAAAGAAACCAACAGGGAUUGCCCUAGUAACGGCGAGUGAAGCGGCAACAGCUCAAAUUUGAAAUCUGGCUCUUUUAGAGUCCGAGUUGUAAUUUGCAGAGGGCGCUUUGGCUUUGGCAGCGGUCCAAGUUCCUUGGAACAGGACGUCACAGAGGGUGAGAAUCCCGUACGUGGUCGCUGGCUAUUGCCGUGUAAAGCCCCUUCGACGAGUCGAGUUGUUUGGGAAUGCAGCUCUAAAUGGGAGGUACAUUUCUUCUAAAGCUAAAUAUUGGCCAGAGACCGAUAGCGCACAAGUAGAGUGAUCGAAAGAUGAAAAGCACUUUGGAAAGAGAGUCAAACAGCACGUGAAAUUGUUGAAAGGGAAGCGCUUGCAGCCAGACUUGCUUACAGUUGCUCAUCCGGGUUUCUACCCGGUGCACUCUUCUGUAGGCAGGCCAGCAUCAGUUUGGGCGGUAGGAUAAAGGUCUCUGUCACGUACCUCCUUU
Molecule: ribosomal RNA, 542 nt
Filed under: Alternaria alternata
Lineage: Eukaryota; Fungi; Ascomycota; Dothideomycetes; Pleosporales; Pleosporaceae
Description: eukaryotic LSU rRNA
Rfam family: Eukaryotic large subunit ribosomal RNA
Source: RNAcentral